This 254-nucleotide ribosomal RNA is filed under the name uncultured bacterium. Its description in RNAcentral is "partial 16S ribosomal RNA". It matches the Rfam family "Bacterial small subunit ribosomal RNA", at positions 524 to 776 of the family's 1533-position model. The record is from RNAcentral.
UACGUAGGGUGCGAGCGUUGUCCGGAAUUAUUGGGCGUAAAGAGCUCGUAGGCGGUCUGUCGCGUCGGUCGUGAAAACUUGGGGCUUAACCCUGAGCUUGCGGUCGAUACGGGCAUGACUGGAGUUCGGUAGGGGAGACUGGAAUUCCUGGUGUAGCGGUGAAAUGCGCAGAUAUCGGGAAGAACACCCGUGGCGAAGGCGGCUCUCUGGGACGGUACUGACGCUGAGACGCGAAAGCGUGGGGAGCGAACAGG